GGCCCAAGUGGGAUUAGCUAGUUGGUGAGGUAAUGGCUCGACCCAAGGCGACGAUCCCUAGGCUGGUUUGAGGAGGAUGAUCAGCCACCACUGGGACUGAGACACGGCCCAGACUCCUACGGGAGGCAGCAGUGGGGAAUAUUGCACAAUGGGCGCAAGCCUGAUGCAGCCAUGCCGCGUGUGUGAAGAAGGCCUUCGGGUUGUAAAGCACUUUCAGUCAGGUAGGAAAGGGUUAAACCGGUUAAUACCCGUUUAGCUGGUGACGUUACUGACAGAAGAAGCACCGGCUAACUCCGUGCCAGCAGCCGCGGUAA
RNAcentral lists this ribosomal RNA (314 nucleotides) under uncultured bacterium. RNAcentral's name for it is "bacterial SSU rRNA". It matches the Rfam family "Bacterial small subunit ribosomal RNA", at positions 228 to 523 of the family's 1533-position model. The record is from RNAcentral.